RNAcentral lists this unclassified non-coding RNA (334 nucleotides) under soil metagenome. RNAcentral's name for it is "partial contains 5.8S ribosomal RNA, internal transcribed spacer 2, and large subunit ribosomal RNA". The stretch from base 1 to 120 matches the Rfam family "5.8S ribosomal RNA", at positions 35 to 154 of the family's 154-position model. The record is from RNAcentral.
GUUGAAGAACGCAGCGAAAUGCGAUAAGUAAUGUGAAUUGCAGAAUUCAGUGAAUCAUCGAAUCUUUGAACGCACAUUGCGCCCGCCAGUAUUCUGGCGGGCAUGCCUGUUCGAGCGUCAUUUCAACCAUCAAGCCCCAGGCUUGUGUUGGAGCCCUGCGGCUGCCGCAGCCUCCCAAAACCAGUGGCGGGCUCGCUAUCACACCGAGUGCAGUAGUUUACUCUUCGCUCAGGGCGUGUGGCGGGUGCUAGCCGUAAAACCCCCAACUUCUCAAGGUUGACCUCGGAUCAGGUAGGAAUACCCGCUGAACUUAAGCAUAUCAAUAAGCGGAGGA